Long non-coding RNA from Dermacentor silvarum, 744 nucleotides. RefSeq lists it as uncharacterized. The record is from RefSeq and is a predicted model, not a curated record. The transcript is spliced from 4 exons. Lineage: Eukaryota; Metazoa; Arthropoda; Arachnida; Ixodida; Ixodidae.
AAUAAGAAUAUCAAACGGCACACUACAAAAAAAUAGAGAGGAAAUAUUGCAGAUGGAUCUGCCCUGGCCCAAAGUCGCGUAGGGGCCGAGUAGUACACGUGUACACACUUCUGUACCUGUGCAGUUGGUGCUCUCGGAGUUGCGUCUGGCAAUGGCUUCUAACUUAGCUGCAGCGUGUAGCGUUCGAAGCUUGGUCAUGUACGGGCUCGUUUGUAUCGUCGCAUUUUCAGCUUGUGUGAGCGCGCACACCCACGGGCAUUCACACAGCAGCACGCCGUCUAAAUCGGUUCAGUUUCGAGAAAGAUGGGACGCCACCGAUGUGGUCCGAGACAUAGAGCAUAUAAAAGAGGACCUGGCUACUCUUGUGGACAUGAAGAACACCGGAGAGCUGACGGACGAGGAGAUCACCUUUUAUUUUUUCCGCAUGCACGACUUCGACGACAACACGAAUGCUGGACGGCAUUGAGUUAUUGUCCGCUAUGCAACAUACCAUCGACCACGGCUUCGCGCCACCUGACUUGGGUCAGCAGAGCCUUGACGAUAUGAUUAAUCUUGUCGACGGCGCCUUGAUGCUUGAUACAAACAACGAUGGCUUUGUUUCCUAUCCGGAAUUGAGAGUAACACUUAAGCAUAAGUAGAAGUUCAUCACGAAGUGGAGCGUUUCCAACGUCUAAUACUGAUAGCAAUAAUACUUAAUACCUUUACUUAUACUACCUCCUGUGACAAAUAAAGGCUUACGGAAUG